Molecule: non-coding RNA, 683 nt
Organism: Ictidomys tridecemlineatus (thirteen-lined ground squirrel)
Lineage: Eukaryota; Metazoa; Chordata; Mammalia; Rodentia; Sciuridae
Source: RefSeq, a predicted model, not a curated record
AUAAAUAAUCAAGUAUGCACUUAAAAAGCCGGAGCAUCCUCGAGGAGCCGCAGACUCCGCAGGCUCCCGCCAAGAGAAAGGAGCCACCGAGGUGUCCUCUGGGUGCUGGCAGGGCAGGCUCUCCUGACCCCAGCCCCAGAAGCCCUGGCCCAGCGGAGGUGGUCACGCGCUGGAAGGCUCAAGAGCCUGCUUGCUACCCGGGCCCCUGACAGCCCUCAGCCUUUGUCUGCACCUAAAACUUUUUUGCUGUUUGUUUCAAAAUAGGGGAAUCUGCACAUCGAGGAAUUCAAGAUGGUCCUGAGCGGGGCGCUGUGCUUCCGCCUUUCAGACUGGGACAGGCCCCGGCAGCCCGCCUGAGGGGGACAAGUAACCACGGGGAAGAUGGAGACAGGAGCCCCCUCCGAGCUCCGCUCUGCUCCCCACACCAUGAGUUCAUGUCACUCCAGCCACUGUGCCACCUCCUCCCUGCAGCCCUGGGGGUGGGGGGAAUAGAACAAAAACAAUCUCCAGAGGUCUGCCACCCACAAGUGUGUAGCGACCCAGAAACUCAGCUGUGUGCGGACUUCACAGUGAAGGGGGAGAGCAGCCCUCUCUGACCUGAGUCUCGUCUGACUGGUCCUCCAUAUCCUUGGUUUCCACAUCCACAGAUUGAAAAUAUAUAUAUAUCUCGCAUCUGCGGUGAA